AUGUUUACUGUGGAACCAGAGAAUUAUGACAAUCCACUAGCCCCCUGGAGCAUUACAGCCUACCAUUCAGAGCCUGGACAAGAGCUUGGCCUUGCACUUUUACAGAUCGCUGCCUGUAGCGGAGCACAAAGGGAGCGGCGAGACUCCCACGUCUUUCAGCGAGAAGAAAGGAGGCAGCGGAGCAGACUAACGCGGGCUUGCGUCUGGUGGCCUGGCGGUACAAAGGCUGCCUUUAAAAGAGAAGCGCAGCGUUAUUUAAUGAGCUGUGAGAUGAGGAGGCGCUGCUGCUAACGCUCAGAUCCCGGGAUUCAUCGGCUAUUCAUUGUGCUUAAUGUACAUGUUUCUACACCGUGCAUUUAGGAGAUCCCAGAGAAGAAUCCAAAACGGCUG
RNAcentral lists this long non-coding RNA (390 nucleotides) under Anser brachyrhynchus (Pink-footed goose). RNAcentral describes it as "lncRNA (ENSABRG00000005700.1)". Lineage: Eukaryota; Metazoa; Chordata; Aves; Anseriformes; Anatidae. The record is from RNAcentral.